GAGUGAACGCUGGCGGUAGGCCUAACACAUGCAAGUCGAACGGCAGCACAGUAAGAGCUUGCUCUUACGGGUGGCGAGUGGCGGACGGGUGAGGAAUACAUCGGAAUCUACUUUUUCGUGGGGGAUAACGUAGGGAAACUUACGCUAAUACCGCAUACGACCUACGGGUGAAAGCAGGGGAUCUUCGGACCUUGCGCGAUUGAAUGAGCCGAUGUCGGAUUAGCUAGUUGGCGGGGUAAAGGCCCACCAAGGCGACGAUCCGUAGCUGGUCUGAGAGGAUGAUCAGCCACACUGGAACUGGGACACGGUCCAGACUCCUACGGGAGGCAGCAGUGGGGAAUAUUGGACAAUGGGCGCAAGCCUGGUCCAGCCAUACCGCGUGGGUGAAGAAGGCCUUCGGGUUGUAAAGCCCUUUUGUUGGGAAAGAAAAGCAGCAGGUUAAUACCCCGCUGUUCUGACGGUACCCAAAGAAUAAGCACCGGCUAACUUCGUG
Molecule: ribosomal RNA, 493 nt
Filed under: uncultured bacterium
Lineage: Bacteria
Description: partial 16S ribosomal RNA
Rfam family: Bacterial small subunit ribosomal RNA
Source: RNAcentral